This 259-nucleotide ribosomal RNA is filed under the name uncultured Leptotrichia sp. RNAcentral's name for it is "partial 16S ribosomal RNA". It matches the Rfam family "Bacterial small subunit ribosomal RNA", at positions 96 to 355 of the family's 1533-position model. The record is from RNAcentral. Lineage: Bacteria; Fusobacteriati; Fusobacteriota; Fusobacteriia; Fusobacteriales; Leptotrichiaceae.
UGGCGGACGGGUGAGUAACGUGUAAAGAACUUGCCCUUUAGACUGGGAUAACAGAGGGAAACUUCUGAUAAUACUGGAUAAGUUAGUAUAUCGCAUGAUAUGCAAAUGAAAGCUACGGCACUAAAGGAGAGCUUUGCGUCCUAUUAGCUAGUUGGUAAGGUAAGAGCUUACCAAGGCGAUGAUAGGUAGCCGGCCUGAGAGGGUGGACGGCCACAAGGGGACUGAGAUACGGCCCUUACUCCUACGGGAGGCAGCAGUC